Long non-coding RNA from Salvia miltiorrhiza (redroot sage), 883 nucleotides. RefSeq lists it as uncharacterized. The transcript has 2 exons. The record is from RefSeq and is a predicted model, not a curated record. Lineage: Eukaryota; Viridiplantae; Streptophyta; Magnoliopsida; Lamiales; Lamiaceae.
GUUCGCUACACAACGCAGUCUAGGAGUUUUGUGUAGACUUUAAUCAGAUUAUCGUCGAUAAUGGAGACCUAUAGGGUCACACUUUAUGUGUAUAGUUGAUUCGCUCAAGGGUGCAAAGAUAGUGCUUGGUGUUUAAUAUAAUGCUAGUCCAAGUGAGAGAUUGAAAAGAUAUAUGGACUAAAUUAGGAUAUAUUAAAUAUAUUCUAAUAAGCUUUUAUUAAUUAUUAAAUAGUUGGACUAUUGAAUUAAUUAAUUGAAGACAAAAGAAAAGUCUGGCCUAUUUACCUAUGGUAAUAAUAGGCGUGUGUUUAUUCCUAUAAUAAUAGGAAUAUAUUUCUUUUGUCAGACAAUUGAAAACACAAGAAAGAAAACACUUAGAGCACUACAGAAUUUAAUCGGAGAUUUCCUAGUGAUUGAAUGAUGCAUCGGGAAUUGUUCCUGCAUCGAAUCUGCAAUAUGCGUGGAUACAUGAUAGUAGUGGAUUCAACUGCAGGAUUGUUAGAAGAAUUGCUACAAGAUUGUUUGCUACACAACAAAUGAUGUCAAGAAUCACCAACAGGGGCCAUGUUCUGCUCGUCGAUUGCACUGGGGUUCCUAUCGCUGGGGAGAGCUAUUUACCGUGAAUCACAUGGAUGUGGCUCCGAGGUAUGUAGAGGUAGUGAUGGGGAUUUCGAACACGGCCGGCACGUUAGCCGGGGUCGUCGGAGUCGGCCUAACUGGUCGAGUCCUCGAGGCGGCCAAGGCGGCGGACAUGGAUCUUACCACUCCGGAGAUGGAGACCGGUUUUUGUCAUCCCAAGUUUACUAUGUGUGUUUAGUUCUCUUGUGUUUCUUUUACAAACUACGGUUUAUUAAUGCACAAUUUCUUUCAUAAAACGACCUUA